Molecule: ribosomal RNA, 274 nt
Filed under: uncultured bacterium
Lineage: Bacteria
Description: partial 16S ribosomal RNA
Rfam family: Bacterial small subunit ribosomal RNA
Source: RNAcentral
AUACGGAGGGUGCAAGCGUUAUCCGGAUUCAUUGGGUUUAAAGGGUGCGCAGGCGGAUAUUUAAGUCAGUGGUGAAAUCCCGGGGCUCAACCUCGGAACUGCCAUUGAUACUGAAUAUCUGGAAUACGGUUGAAGUGGGCGGAAUGUAGCAUGUAGCGGUGAAUUGCAUAGAGAUGCUACAGAACACCGAUCGCGAAGGCAGCUCACUAAGCCGAUAUUGACGCUCAGGCACGAAAGCGUGGGGAGCGAACAGGAUUAGAAACCCUAGUAGUCC